RNAcentral lists this ribosomal RNA (1073 nucleotides) under Actinomadura coerulea. RNAcentral's name for it is "16S ribosomal RNA". It matches the Rfam family "Bacterial small subunit ribosomal RNA", at positions 272 to 1367 of the family's 1533-position model. Lineage: Bacteria; Bacillati; Actinomycetota; Actinomycetes; Streptosporangiales; Thermomonosporaceae. The record is from RNAcentral.
GCCAAAGAACUGGAGCCGAUGAUUAUCGUCAGAACGGUCACAUUGAUAUAUAUAUAUCAACUCUAUUAUAGAGCAGCAGUGGGGAAUCUUUGACAAUGGUCUAACGACUGAUCAAGUUAUCUACAAGAAGGAAUUUAUAAUAAAUAUAUAUAAAUAUAUCCCCUUCGGGGGGAUAUAUUUAUAUAUACUAAUUAAUAUAAAUAAAGAGAAAUACUAUAAACUUCUGAAUAAUUAUAAUAAUGAUAUAAUUAUGAAAUAGUCCCAACCAAAACAUGUGCCAGCAGCUGCGGUUAGACAUGGGGGGCAAGCAUUGUUCAAUAAGGCUUAAAGGUUCUGUAGAACGUAAUAUAAUUUAUAUAUAAAUAUAAAUUAAAAUAGAAUAAAUUUAAAUAAGUAUAAUGAAAAAGAUUUAUAUAGGUGAAAUGAGACAUUAAAUUUUAGACAGCCAAUAAUAUACUUAUAAUUUAUUGACGUUGUGGGAAGAAGGCUACGGUAGCAAAAUGGAUUCGUUAACCGUGUAGUCGUAGCUGUGAACUAUGAAUACUUUAAUUAUUUUAAAUAUAAAUAUUUAAAAUAGAAAAGUGAAAAUGAAAAGUAUUCCGCCUGACGAGUAAGCUCGCAAGAGUGAAAAACAAGACAUUAGACGGUCUUAGUUAUUAGCAGUGGAACAUGUCGUUUAAUUGGAUUAUCCUCCUAAAACCUUACCAUCUUUUGAAUAUUUAAUAAAUAUAUAUAUAUUUAUUAUUUACAGGCGUUACAUCGUUGUCGUCAGUUCAUGUUGUGAAAUAUUUUAUUGAGUUACUUAAUGAACGAAAUCCUAGACCUUAUUAGGUAUAUGUAUUAUUUAAUCGUAAUAGGAAGUAUAGGUUGAAGGCUAAUCAUGAUGACCUUUAUAAGAUGGGCUACUGACGUGUUACAAUAUUAUUGACAAUUAUAUAAUUACUUUAUAUUUUAUUAAUUAUAUUAAACAAUAAUAAUUGGAAUUAAGUAUUCAUUAAAAGGAUUAUAACCUGAAAUUCGGUUAUAUGAAUAAGGAAUUGCUAGUAAUCGUGAACUACUGUGUCACGGUGAAU